This 228-nucleotide ribosomal RNA is filed under the name Rossellomorea vietnamensis. RNAcentral describes it as "Bacillus vietnamensis partial 16S ribosomal RNA". It matches the Rfam family "Bacterial small subunit ribosomal RNA", at positions 1314 to 1533 of the family's 1533-position model. Lineage: Bacteria; Bacillati; Bacillota; Bacilli; Caryophanales; Bacillaceae. The record is from RNAcentral.
GCCUACAUGAAGCUGGAAUCGCUAGUAAUCGCGGAUCAGCAUGCCGCGGUGAAUACGUUCCCGGGCCUUGUACACACCGCCCGUCACACCACGAGAGUUUGUAACACCCGAAGUCGGUGAGGUAACCUUUUGGAGCCAGCCGCCUAAGGUGGGACAGAUGAUUGGGGUGAAGUCGUAACAAGGUAGCCGUAUCGGAAGGUGCGGCUGGAUCACCUCCUUUCUAAGGAA